Molecule: long non-coding RNA, 403 nt
Organism: Scophthalmus maximus (turbot)
Lineage: Eukaryota; Metazoa; Chordata; Actinopteri; Pleuronectiformes; Scophthalmidae
Exons: 3
Source: RefSeq, a predicted model, not a curated record
AGCAUAAUUAGGGGCGUGGAAAGUUGAUUGACAGGUGACGCCGCUGUUUGUUAGCUGCUCGGUGGCAGCGCUAGCCGGUGGCAGCGCUAGCUGUAACCAGAGCUAAUCUCUGGUCAUUGAACGGGACUUCUCGACCGGCGCGUCGGAGCCUUGCGGAGAACAUUUCCAGCUACUACCGGAUGAAUAAUCCACCUGCCCUGCGAUCAGUCGUCCCAACAGAGAAGUCCAGGAAGCUUGCGCUCCUGUUGUUUCGAUGAUCCAGACAGACUGGACCAGUGGAAGCUCAACAUGAGGCAGAACCUAACUGACCUAUCACUUCACACUGACCCUAGGUCCACAUAUGGGAAGGACCUGCCUGAAGGAGUCCACUGUGCUGACCAUGUUCUGUCUCCAAGAGCAAAGA